RNAcentral lists this ribosomal RNA (468 nucleotides) under uncultured bacterium. RNAcentral describes it as "bacterial SSU rRNA". It matches the Rfam family "Bacterial small subunit ribosomal RNA", at positions 24 to 518 of the family's 1533-position model. The record is from RNAcentral.
UCAGAACGAACGCUGCGGGCAGGCGUUAACACAUGCAAGUUGAACGGGAUUUGAUGGUAGCUUGCUAUCAUUAAUGAGAGUAGCGCACUGGUGAGUAACACGUGGGAACAUGCCGUUUUGUGGGGGACAACAGAUGGAAACGUCUGCUAAUACCGCAUAAGCCCUGAGGGGGAAAGAUUUAUUGCCGAAAGAUUGGCCCGCGGAAGAUUAGGUAGUAGGUGGGGUAAUGGCCUACCUAGCCGACGAUCUAUAGCUGGUCUGAGAGGACGAUCAGCCACAUUGGAACUGAGACACGGUCCAGACUCCUACGGGAGGCAGCAGUGAGGAAUAUUGGGCAAUGGAGGGAACUCUGACCCAGCCCAUGCCGCGUGAGUGAAGAAGGUUUUCGGAUUGUAAAGCUCUUUCAGAUGAGAAGAUAAUGACGGUAUCAUCAGAAGAAGCACCGGCUAACUUCGUGCCAGCCGCCGC